Molecule: ribosomal RNA, 253 nt
Filed under: uncultured bacterium
Lineage: Bacteria
Description: partial 16S ribosomal RNA
Rfam family: Bacterial small subunit ribosomal RNA
Source: RNAcentral
UACAGAGGUCCCAAGCGUUGUUCGGAUUCAUUGGGCGUAAAGGGUGCGUAGGCGGCGCGGUAAGUCGGGUGUGAAAUCUCGGAGCUUAACUCCGAAACUGCAUUCGAUACUGCCGUGCUUGAGGACUGGAGAGGAGACUGGAAUUCAUGGUGUAGCAGUGAAAUGCGUAGAUAUCGUAAGGAAGACCAGUGGCGAAGGCGGGUCUCUGGACAGUUCCUGACACUGAGACACGAAGGCCAGGGGAGCAAACGGG